Molecule: long non-coding RNA, 3753 nt
Filed under: Sus scrofa (pig)
Lineage: Eukaryota; Metazoa; Chordata; Mammalia; Artiodactyla; Suidae
Description: lncRNA (ENSSSCG00030031499.1)
Source: RNAcentral
UUUUUUUUUUUUUUUUCUGGUCUUUUUAGGGCCACACCCAAGGUGUAUGGAAGUUCCCAGGCUAGGGGUUGAAUCAGAGCUUCAGCUGCCAGCCACAGCCACAGCCACGCCAGAUCCAAGCUGCAUCUGCGACCUAUACACAGCGCAAGGCAAUGCUAGAUCCUUAACCCAUUGAGUGAGGCCAGGGAUCAAACCUGCAUCCUCAUGGAUACUAGCCGUGUUCAUUACCACUGAGCCGCAAGGAAACUCCAAAGCUCUGGUUCUUAAGAGUAGAGAUAAAUAUCUAAAUUGGUUGCAGUAGGAAUGAAAAAGAAGCGAUGAAGAAACAUUAUUUAACAUUUUCAUACAUUGCUUUAUUUCAAAACCGAUUGUAGGUGGCUCACAAAUGUGUCGUUAAUUAGUCAUGACAUAUUUGUCUCUGUACAUCUAUAUUUAGUAACACCUAGGAUCACGCUUAAUUUAUUUUUUUGUCUUAUCUCCUACUUUGGGGAAAGUGCAAUUUUAUGGACUCAUCAACAGAGUGCUUCAUAUGUGCUAGGACAGCUCAGGCCCCACAGAGAAGUCAAGGUCAAAGAAGGCAAAGCCCUGGCCCUCAGCAAGACUUCAGGCAGGUAAAGGAGUCAAAUGUGGAAAUAAGACAUCAUGAUACAGGAAGACCAUUUAAAAAGCCAAAAGAGGAGUUCCUGUCCUGGUGCAGUGGUUAACGAAUCCAACUAGGAACCAUGAGGUUGCGGGUUUGAUCCCUGGCCUUGCUCAGUGGUUAAGGAUCCGGUGUUGCCAUGAGCUGUGGUGUACGUUGCAGACGCGGCUCGGAUCCCGCAUUGCUGUGGCUCUGGCGUAGGUCGGCGGCUACAUCUCCGAUUCGACCCCUAGCCUGGGAACCUCCUUAUGCCGUGGGAGCAGCCCAAGAAAAGGCAAAAAAUAAAUCAAUAAAUAAAAAGCCAGAAGACAGAGAAGGCAGACACUAUUUCUUAUUUAGUGGAUUAUAGAAGGUUUCAUGGAAGAGGCGACACUUGAGUUGAAACUCAAAGAUAAUAUGUUAGCCAACAGCAAAGAACAUUCCGAAUGACGAAAUAGCAUGAGAAAAGGCACAAAGAAAGGAAAUCACUGUCUUAUAUCCCUAUCCAUAGUCCGUGGAACAAUCCCUGGCACACAGUAGGUACUCAAUAAAUACUGGGUGAGGGAGUUCCCCUGUGGCUCAGUGGUAAUGAACCUGAAUAGUAUCCAUGAGGAUUCGAGUUUGAUCCCUGGCCUUGCUCAGAGGGUCAAGAAUCCAGCAUUGGCAUGGGCUGUGGUAUAAGUUCGGAUCAGAUCUGGUGCUGCUGUGGCUGUAGGCCAGCAGCUGCAACUCCGAGUCAACCCCUAGCCUGGGAACUUUCAUAUGCUACAGGUGCAGCCCUAAAAAGAAAAAAAAAAGGUUGGGUGAGCAGAUGAGUAUUUAAAAGGAAGUCGAAAAAAAAAAAUAAAUAAAUAAAUAAAAGGAAGUCGAAUUUCAAUAAGGGUAAAAGACAGGUUAGGAAAUCAAAGUGGGCCUUAGAAGCAAUGCAAAGUAUUGGUUAUUUAUUUUCCAAAACUGGGAUCCUGAGAAGGCUUUUGGAUAAAGAAGUUAUAUAUGGUAAAAGUUUGCUUGGAUCACUCCAACAAUCAAGGAAGCUAGGGAGCAGACCAAAAGCCAGAGGGAAAAAACCACCUAGGAAGCUACUGCACCAAUCCAAGCUCUUGAGGAAGUGGCUUGGGGCAGGAGAGCUGUAAUUCACGAAGCACUUUGGAAACAGAAUCCAUAGACCAACAAGAGAUGUGGUGUUAAACCUGAGUGGCGUGCAAGAUAGUGUCUCAAUGAACCAAGACGGUGAAUGGAAAGAGCAGGUUUGGAAGCCAGAAGAAGUUCAUGACAGAACGAAGGGAGGACACUGAAGCCUUCAAUUCCUUUCUGUGUAUUUCUGCCCCAACCCAUAAAAUAGGAAUUUCCACCAUCGACUUGCACAUCUUGGGGAAGUAUUAGGAGGGAGCCGGUGGCCUGGCUUCCCUUGCUUUGGGGCCUGUCUGUGCCUUAACUGCAUGCAUCCUCCUUCUCUACUCUUGCAAGCAUGUGGUAGGUGUAUGUGGUCAGGGGCCAAAGCCUGCCUCCACGGCCACACAAGCCCAGGGCUCGCCCCUCUUUGGCACUCAUCCUUGAAGGUGCUGGUGUCCCACCGUGACCGUGGAGCUGGAUGGAUACGAUGAUGCUCUAUUUUCAUCUCAUCUGGACUCAUGUCUGUUCUCAACUGGUUCAACCCAAAGAGGUGGAAAAGUGCAAUUCAUCAGCAGUCCUACCCCUCACACUGAAUUUGAGGUACAAGUAAAACCAGGUAAAGAUAUUCAAUACAUGGCUUAACAUGCUCGCCUGGAAUUCAAGAGAGAGAGAGUGGAGAGAAGGUACUUGUUUGAAGGUCACUCGAAAAUGAAUGAGGCAGUGUUCCCAUCAUAGUCUAGUGGUAAGAAAAACAACUAGUACCCCUGAGGACAUGGGUUCAAUCCCUGGUCUUGCUCAGUGGGUUAAGGAUCUGCUGUUGCCAUGAGCUGUAGUGUAGGGGGCAGACGAGGCUCAGAUCUGGUGUUGCUGUAGCUGUGGUGUAGGCUGGCAGCUACAGCUCCGAUUAGACCCCUAGCCUGGGAAUCUCCAUAUGCUGCAGGUGCAGCUGUAAAAAGAAAAGAAAAUUUUUUUUUCAAUUAUUGGGAAAAAAACAAAAGGCCAGCUCAGAGUGUAUGUAUAUGUGUGUGUGUGCGCGCGCGUGCAUUUGCCUGUGUUUGUGCAUGGAGAUGGAACCAGGCCAGAGACCCAAGCUUUUAACACUAGUUAUGUCAGAGAGUCAGGAAUAUAGAGGGGUUGGGAGCUUAUUAAUAUAUGUAUUUUUUUGUCUUUUUGUCUUUUUAGGGUCGCACCUGCAGCAUAUGGAGGUUCCCAGGCUAGGGUCCUAAAAAGACAAAAAGACCAAAAAAAAAGGAAUUAAUUAAUUAAUUAUUUUAACAAAGAAAAAACUUUUCCUAAGCCACUAAGGAGCAAUCGCCUAAGUCUAGGUAAGCUCACCUCCUCCAGCAAAGAACCCAAGCCCCCUUGUCACUCCCUGUAUUGCAGAGGGAGCUUCCCAUGCAUGUAAUGACUUUUUGUGCAGCCUGCAUGGCACUCAGGGUGGGCACUGUCCUUUAUUACUUCCUCCAAGUGGGUGAUGCUGUCCUGCGACCAAGUGACAACUUGGAUCUCCCGGGAAGGGAUGUCCUAUAAACAAAAAUAGUUGCAGUCAUUACAUAACUUCAUCCCACCUCAGCAACUGGCCUUUGUGCAAAAGCUCACAACGCACACAUGGACUUGCUCCUGACCCUGGGCCUGCUGGGGAGACAGGAGCCAGAGCUAAUGAGAAUGAUGAACGACUAGAGCCCCAUCCACCGUGCGCUGAGCCCACUGUCCACGCUUGGGCGACUGGCUUUGCAUGCUGCCCCCUGCAAGGGGUGUGACAGCGUGAAGAAGCCGGGCCUGUCCCUUCUGUUUGGACCAUCUCUCCUGGAGAAUGAUGGGAGCAAUUUUUUUUUUUUAAUAGCUACACCUGCAGCAUAUGGAAGUUCCCAGGCUAGGAAUCAAAUUAGAGCUGCAGCUGGAGCCUACCCCAGCCACAGCAAUGCCAGAUUCGAGCCUCGUCUGCGACUAGGCCACAACUUGCAGCAACUCUGGAUCCUUAACCCACUGAGCAAGGCCAGGGAUCAAACCUGCAUCCUCAU